CCUACGGGAGGCAGCAGUAAGGAAUAUUGCGCAAUGGGCGAAAGCCUGACGCAGCGACGCCGCGUGGGGGAUGAAGGUCUUCGGAUUGUAAACCCCUUUCGGGAGGGAAGAUGGAAUGAGCAAUCAUUCGGACGGUACCUCCAGAAGCAGCCACGGCUAACUUCGUGCCAGCAGCCGCGGUAAUACGAAGGUGGCAAGCGUUGUUCGGAUUUACUGGGCGUACAGGGAGCGUAGGCGGUUUAGUAAGCCCUUUGUGAAAUCUCCAGGCUUAACCUGGAACAGUCGGAGGGGACUGCUAAGCUAGAGUACGGGAGAGGAGCGCGGAAUUCCCGGUGUAGCGGUGAAAUGCGUAGAGAUCGGGAGGAAGGCCGGUGGCGAAGGCGGCGCUCUGGAACGUUUCUGACGCUGAGGCUCGAAAGCGUGGGGAGCAAACAGGAUUAGAUACCCUGGUAGUCCACGCCUUAAACUAUGAAUACUAAGUGUCGGCGGUUUACCGCCGGUGCCGCAGCUAACGCAUUAAGUAUUCCGCCUGGGAAGUCGGCCGCAAGGUUGAAACUUAAAUGAAUUGACCGG
RNAcentral lists this ribosomal RNA (573 nucleotides) under uncultured bacterium. RNAcentral's name for it is "bacterial SSU rRNA". It matches the Rfam family "Bacterial small subunit ribosomal RNA", at positions 338 to 917 of the family's 1533-position model. The record is from RNAcentral.